UUUAGAUGGCGACCGGCGCACGGGUGAGUAACACGUAUCUAACCUGCCGAUGACUCGGGGAUAGCCUUUCGAAAGAAAGAUUAAUACCCGAUGGCAUAGUUCUUCCGCAUGGUAGAACUAUUAAAGAAUUUCGGUCAUCGAUGGGGAUGCGUUCCAUUAGGUUGUUGGCGGGGUAACGGCCCACCAAGCCUUCGAUGGAUAGGGGUUCUGAGAGGAAGGUCCCCCACAUUGGAACUGAGACACGGUCCAAACUCCUACGGGAGGCAGCAUG
RNAcentral lists this ribosomal RNA (271 nucleotides) under uncultured bacterium. Its description in RNAcentral is "partial 16S ribosomal RNA". It matches the Rfam family "Bacterial small subunit ribosomal RNA", at positions 83 to 353 of the family's 1533-position model. The record is from RNAcentral.